GAGAAAGUCACUUCGGUGGCGAGUAGAGUGGCGCACGGGUGAGUAACGCGUAGAUGAUCUACCCUUCAGUCUGGGACAACUCUUGGAAACGGGAGCUAAUACCGGAUAAAACCUUCGGGUUGAAAGAUUUAUCGCUGGGGGAUGAGUCUGCGUACCAUUAGCUUGUUGGUGGGGUAAUAGCCUACCAAGGCGACGAUGGUUAGCGGGUCUGAGAGGACGAUCCGCCACACUGGAACUGAGACACGGUCCAGACUCCUACGGGAGGCAGCAGUAGGGAAUAUUGCGCAAUGGGGGCAACCCUGACGCAGUAAUGCCGCGUGAGUGAAGAAGGCCUUCGGGUCGUAAAGCUCUUUUAUGGGGGAAGAUGAUGACGGUACCCCAUGAAUAAGCACCGGCUAACCGUGCCAGCAGCCGCAGUAUACGUAGGUGCGAGCCGUGUCCGGAAUUACUGGGCGUAAAGGGCGUGCAGGCGAUAGCAGCCGGAGGUGAAAGCCCGGGGCUCAACCCCGGAGGGUCUUUCGGAACUGCCAGUCUGAGAGGGUCAGGGGCCAGCGGAAUUCCUGGUGUAGAGGUGAAAUUCGUAGAGAUCAGGAGGAACACCGGCGGCGAAAGCGGCUGGCUGGGACCACUCUGACGCUGAGGCGCGAAAGCGUGGGGAGCAAACAGGAUUAGAUACCUGGUAGUCCACGCCGUAAACGAUGGGCACUAAGCGUCCGACGGGUUCGACCCUGUUGGGUGCUGCAGUUAACGCGUUAAGUGCCCCGCCUGGGGAGUACGGUCGCAGACUAAAACUCAAAGGAAUUGACGGGGGCCCGCACAGCGGUGGACAUGUGGUUUAUUCGACGCACGCGAAGACCUUACUGCUUGACAUCCCCGCCCGACACAGAGAUGGUGUUUCUCAUCCGAGACGGAUAAAAGGUGCUGCAUGGCUGUCGUCAGCUCGAGUAGCGAGAUGUUGGGUUAAGUCCCGCAACGAGCGCAACCCUUGCCCUCAGUUGCCAGCAGUUCGGCUGGGC
RNAcentral lists this ribosomal RNA (1016 nucleotides) under uncultured SAR324 cluster bacterium. RNAcentral's name for it is "bacterial SSU rRNA". It matches the Rfam family "Bacterial small subunit ribosomal RNA", at positions 68 to 1136 of the family's 1533-position model. Lineage: Bacteria; Deltaproteobacteria. The record is from RNAcentral.